GCUAUGAUGUCAUGGCACUCUACCAAGGAUGAUAGAGUGAGACUCUCUCUAAAAAGAAAGAAAAGGGCGUAGGACGCAGGAGUCGAGGCGCUGGGAGCCAUCGUGGUGAGGACCAUGUUGCUUCCGAACAUCCUGCUCACAGGUACACCUGGGGUUGGAAAAACCACACUAGGCAAAGAACUUGCAUCAAGAUCAGGACUGAAAUACAUUAAUGUGGGUGAUUUAGCUAAAGAAGGGCAGUUGUAUGAUGGCUAUGAUGAAGAAUAUGAAUGUCCCAUGUUAAGAUGAAGAUAGAGUGGUUGAUGAGUUAGAUAACCAAAUGACAGAAGGUGGAGUUAUUGUUGAUUACCAUGGUUGUGAUUUCUUCCCUGAACGCUGGUUUCAUGUAGUUUUUGUCCUGCGAACAAAUACCAGUGAAUUGUACAAAGGCUUAAAACAAGGGGUUAUAAUGAGAAGAAAUUAAAAGACAAUAUUGAGUGUGAGAUUUUUCAAAUUCUUUAUGAAGAAGCCACAGCAUCCUACAAGGAAGAAAUCGUGCAUCAGCUGCCCAGCAACAACCCAGCAGAGCUAGAAAGUAAUAUAGAUUACAUCUUAAAAUGGAUUGAGCAGUGGGUCAAAGUUCGUAAUUCUUGACUUAUAAGAGUAGCCACUUUAGAAUCACUCUGAGUAUUGAUAUCUUUUGCCAACAUCAUAGAAAUUGUCCAAUGUCAGUAUGGCUAUUAAAAUUGUGUUGCAGGACUAGCAGGUGGAUAG
RNA transcript from Nycticebus coucang (slow loris), 753 nucleotides. It is a transcript of the gene named adenylate kinase isoenzyme 6-like, with no coding region annotated. The record is from RefSeq and is a predicted model, not a curated record. The transcript has a single exon. NCBI's taxonomy places the organism in Eukaryota, Metazoa, Chordata, Mammalia, Primates, Lorisidae.